AUUGAACGCUGGCGGCAGGCCUAACACAUGCAAGUCGGGCGAGCGGAGGACGGGUGAGUAAUGUAUGGGGAUCUGCCUGAUGGCGGGGGAUAACUACUGGAAACGGUAGCUAAUACCGCAUACCAUCAGAUGAACCCAUAUGGGAUUAGCUUGUAGGUGAGGUAACUGCUCAACUAGGCGAAGAUCCCUAGAUGGUCUGAGAGGAUGAUCAGCCACACUGGGACUGAGACACGUCCCAGACUCCUACGGGAGGCAGCAGUGGGGAAUAUUGCACAAUGGGCGCAAGCCUGACGCAGCCAUGCCGCGUGAAUGAAGAAGGCCUUCGGGUUUUAAAGUUCUUUCGGUAGCGAGGCGUUAACUACAGAAGAAGCACCGGCUAACUCCGUGCCAGCAGCCGCGGUAAUAC
RNAcentral lists this ribosomal RNA (406 nucleotides) under uncultured bacterium. RNAcentral describes it as "partial 16S ribosomal RNA". It matches the Rfam family "Bacterial small subunit ribosomal RNA", at positions 30 to 526 of the family's 1533-position model. The record is from RNAcentral.